ACCUUCGUGGUGUAACUGCUAGCAUACUCGGCUCGUAUUCUAGAGGUCCAGGUUCAAGUUCCGGCGAGGGCA
Molecule: transfer RNA, 72 nt
Filed under: Stegodyphus mimosarum
Lineage: Eukaryota; Metazoa; Arthropoda; Arachnida; Araneae; Eresidae
Rfam family: tRNA
About the family: Transfer RNA (tRNA) molecules are approximately 80 nucleotides in length. Their secondary structure includes four short double-helical elements and three loops (D, anti-codon, and T loops).
Source: Rfam by way of RNAcentral